GACGUAGGGUCCGAGCGUUGUCCGGAGUUACUGGGCGUAAAGCGUGCGUAGGUGGUUCGUUAAGUCUGUCGUGAAAGCCCCGGGCUCAACCUGGGAAUGGCGAUGGAUACUGGCGGGCUAGAGUGCGGUAGAGGAGAGUGGAAUUCCCGGUGUAGCAGUGAAAUGCGUAGAGAUCGGGAGGAACAUCAGUUGCGAAGGCGGCUCUCUGGACCAGCACUGACACUGAGGCACGAAAGCGUGGGGAGCAAACAGG
This 253-nucleotide ribosomal RNA is filed under the name uncultured bacterium. Its description in RNAcentral is "partial 16S ribosomal RNA". It matches the Rfam family "Bacterial small subunit ribosomal RNA", at positions 524 to 776 of the family's 1533-position model. The record is from RNAcentral.